GACGAACGCUGGCGGCGUGCCUAAUACAUGCAAGUCGAACGCUUCUUUCCUCCCGAGUGCUUGCACUCAAUUGGAAAGAGGAGUGGCGGACGGGGGAGUAACACGUGGGUAACCUACCCAUCAGAGGGGGAUAACACUUGGAAACAGGUGCUAAUACCGCAUAACAGUUUAUGCCGCAUGGCAUACGAGUGAAAGGCGCUUUCGGUUGUCGCUGAUGGAUGGACCCGCGGUGCAUUAGCUAGUUGGUGAGGUAACGGCUCACCAAGGCCACGAUGCGUAGCCGACCUGAGAGGGUGAUCAGCCACACUGGAACUGAGACACGGCCCAGACUCCUACGGGAGGCAGCAGUAGGGAAUCUUCGGCAAUGGACGAAAGUCUGACCGAGCAACGCCGCGUGAGUGAAGAAGGUGUUCGGAUCGUAAAACUCUGUUGUUAGGGAAGAACAAGAACGUGAGUAACUGAACGUCCCCUGACGGUAUCUAAACAGAAAGCAACGGCUAACUACGUG
RNAcentral lists this ribosomal RNA (508 nucleotides) under uncultured bacterium. RNAcentral's name for it is "partial 16S ribosomal RNA". It matches the Rfam family "Bacterial small subunit ribosomal RNA", at positions 28 to 507 of the family's 1533-position model. The record is from RNAcentral.